GAUUUCUGGCCUGAUGUGCCUGGCCCGCCAGCGUUAGCUGUGUGAGUGUCGGGACGCGUCUGCCAUCCUUCUAGUGCACGUUUCUACUCUUCAUUGAGCCGGAGACGGUUUGUCACUAGAUCUUUUACUUUGAAAAAAUUAGAGUGUUUAAAGCAGGCUUUUGCUAUGAAUACAUUAGCAUGGAAUAAUAAUCUAGGACUUCGGUUCUAUUUUGUUGGUUUCUAGAACUGAAGUAAUGAUUGAUAGGGAUAGUUGGGGGUGCUAGUAUUCAGCGGCCAGAGGUGAAAUUCUCGGAUUCGCUGAAGACUAACUUAUGCGAAAGCAUU
Molecule: ribosomal RNA, 326 nt
Filed under: Allapsidae sp.
Lineage: Eukaryota; Cercozoa; Glissomonadida; Viridiraptoridae
Description: SSU rRNA
Rfam family: Eukaryotic small subunit ribosomal RNA (bases 112-326)
Source: RNAcentral